CAGGUCGUCUUGCAGGGCUUCU
Molecule: microRNA, 22 nt
Filed under: Homo sapiens (human)
Lineage: Eukaryota; Metazoa; Chordata; Mammalia; Primates; Hominidae
Also listed under: 1 other name
Description: hsa-miR-431-3p
Gene: hsa-miR-431-3p
Source: miRBase by way of RNAcentral